CCCCGAUUUUUGGCGGGCUUCUUUCAUCAGUUGGUUUUCGCGCUCAACCCGGUGUUCCCGUCCGCGCGCUCUGUUCCUGAAUAAGAACAACACCAGAUAUGUUCGCCCCAGAUAGAGAACUGAAACGACGCGCACGGCGUCACCCCCUUUCGCCGUCCUGCUUUUGGGCACCGACCUAGAACUCUUUCCCUUUCUUUGUCUCAUAAAGCAUCUCAUUCAGACGAAUCCCUUUUGUAGACUGCUCGAGCACAAACAGACAAGACUUCUCACACAGCAAGGGGUCCCUGCUAAGGUGAGGGAAGAAGUAGUCACGAUAACUUGACCGUGAAGGGCUUGAGCGCCAUGUGACAUCCUGGCCAGAAACGUCGACUCGAUUGAGAUUUCAUCAUCUCCAUUGAGAAAGGGAGCCGGCCUAUCACCCGUGGACCACUAAAAUCACCACCUCUUGGUCCUUCCUCUCUCGUGUUCAGCGCAAGAGCCUCCCUGACUCUGUGACAGAGGGAGUCCUGAGUGACGCCGUGAAUGACUCUACGAUGCCUUACUGCCCCACCCCCCCUCCCCCACCUCUUCCCGGCUGCUUCUGAUUAAGAUGUUUGUGGUGGGAUCUGAGAGCAAUUUGAACAACUACAGGUGCAACUCGUACAGAUGGACGUAACAUAUGAAAUGUGCUGAAUAUAUCCAUGUAUUUAGAUCCUAAUAUGUACACAUGGAAUUGCUGUAUUCAUUUGAUGCUUUUGGAACGUCUCUUCAUAAAAUCUCAAAUGCUGAAAUAUCCUGUCAAAAUACAUGAUUGGUGUGUUUAUUUGGCUCUUUGCUGUCUUUCAUUUAUAGAUGAAUUCUGAAGGACCUUUAUAAGAUAACACUGUAGUUGGCCACGUUAAAUGGCAUCCUAUUCAUACGCCUGGUCAUCUAAGCAGGAUGAAAAGAAUAGCCUCCGUUUUAAUGAACUACCAAUUUUGGAGGGGGUGUCUUGAAGACAAAAGCAGCCUAGGCUAGACUGUUGUGAGACUUUCUGUCUGGAUUACAAGCUAAUGCGUUUAACAUAAACAAUGCCCAACUCUCGAGUCGUGUCAUCCCGCCAAGGAGACGCAUAUUCUCUUAACAAUCCUGUUCGAGU
Long non-coding RNA from Oncorhynchus gorbuscha (pink salmon), 1117 nucleotides. RefSeq lists it as uncharacterized. The record is from RefSeq and is a predicted model, not a curated record. Lineage: Eukaryota; Metazoa; Chordata; Actinopteri; Salmoniformes; Salmonidae. The transcript has 5 exons.